CUCGGCUCCGGGGAGGCGGUGCGGGAGGGCGCUGGCCGCGUCCGCCCGCCGAGAGCCUCGGGUCGCGCAGCCUUCCUGAUGUGUCACCAGCACGUGGAGCCAGGUCGGGCCUUGCGAGCGAGCGGAACCCCCCAACUUUCGAAGGGUCUCGCUGCUCUGCUCCUGUCCCCGCUGCGCCGGGCGCGCCCCCUUUGGGGACUGGGCAGCGGCGGCCUCCGGGUCCGGGCAGGGCGGACGAGGCCGGGGCCCCAGGCCAGAUGCGCGCGGGGCGGCCCGAACGUCGGGGCGCGGAGCCCCGGCUCGCGGCUGAGCCACCAGCGUCUCGGCGGCGGCGGGGACUCGCGUGCGGAGGGCGUGGCCCGCGGCGGGUGAGGGUUCCCGCCCCCCUCUCCGAGCGGAGCGCAGAACAAUCACCCUAAAGAAGACAGAUCAUAAAAAGGGAAUGAAAGCCUAUGAUGAAUGAACAAGCUGUAUACACUUGCCAUUGUGAUCAGAGAAUAACACCGUCUGUGAGAAGUCCGACAACUGGAGAGGGGCCAGAGGACAGAAGAUGAGGAAAUAAAGUGAAGUUUCAUACACAGAGGGUCCAGGCAAAAAUCCUGAGCAAAGUAGAAACCAACUGUGGACAUUUCUGCAGAAAGGAGUCCUCACUUAGAGCUUCCAGGGAACCAGCAGGAAGUCUCAUCAAAUUGGGUUCACUUUCUAUAUUUAGAGCAUCAGAAGGCUGAACAUGUCAGACAGAGUUCAGUUCAGUUAUUUUCUAGAAGAACGGGGUGACUACUUCAAAUGGAAAACAUUGACUCAAGGCCCUAAAAGUUGACUGGGAAGACAGUAGCAGUGACGAUGGGAUACGAGAUGCCGCAGUAAUAAUAGGACCCCGGAUCUUGGCAGCUCCAAGCAGCAAGGCUCAGUUCUCACCUCUGCUCUUAGUCCCCUGCCUGGAGCAACUGGAGGCUCCACCCUGCAUCUGUCUCCUCUGGGACCCAGGCUGAGGGAGCAACCCUUAUGAGGGGGAGGAAGCAGUGUGGUGAGCCAUGGGUUGGCUCUGAAAGCGUCACCCACAAGUGACAAGGCAAGUCUUAUGGCCAAGGUUAACUUCAAAAAUGGUAGGCAGUACAACCCCACUCCCCAUGGGGAGGAUGAGGAGCCAGAAAUAUGUCGGGGUAGCACCACAGACUCCACAGCCCCAGGGCUGCCAGUAUCUCAUGCAGGGAAGUGCAGGCUCUGGGCAAGAAAGGACUGGGUAGAGACUCAGCACUUUGGCAUCUGACUGGGGUCUCAGGGUCGGGAGCAAGUCAGAGGCGCAGACCAGAGCAACUGGAGGCUGGGAAAAAAGCACCAGGGCAGCAGAAGCGGACGUCAUCUCCAGAACCCUAAAUAUUCAGUGAUUGAGGUGUUUAAAUACUUGGCAGUCUAAUCAUUUAAAUGGACUAGGACAACUACUUAAAGUGACAAUAUAAAUGAACAUUUGUUGGCAACAAGCUACACGCUGGGAGUGUCCAUUUGGGGAAGGGGCUGUCAGAUGUUGAAGCAGCACCUGGCAGAGAGGGGAUCCUGUGGUAUUUGCCUCGGUGCGGACAGGCAGGAGGUGUGCAGGUUGCAUGGUGCUGGUUGAGACCUCAAAAGGUUGACAGACCAUCUGGAGACAAACACAUUCCCAUGCCAAUGUGGCAACUGGGGCAACUGGCAUUUCCUCCAGAGCUACUGGUGUCAUUUGUGUGCAAAUAAUGUGAGAAAAUUUGACUCUCUGCCUGGCUUGCCAGGAGGCUCCUGGGCAGAGUUAGCUUGUGGUUGCCUGGACCUCGUGUGGGGCUGCAGUAGGAAGGACUCUCCAAGUAUGACUAUGGGAGCAUGCACGUUUUCCGGACGUGGCCAUUUUGUUUCUCAGCUCCUCAAAUUUCUACUCCUAAAGUGAAGCUGUACACUGUGAUUAAGAGCACAGACUGCUGGGGCUGGAAUCCGGGGCCCAUCGCUCUGAGGGACCUUAAGGGAGACUUGACCAUUCUGGCCUCAGGACCACUGUGUGUGAAAUAAUAUUUCAGAGACUUGUGUCCAUAUAUAAAUUAAAUACAAAGGGCUUAGGAAAGAGCAUUCGAUAAAUAUUAAACAUUUAAAACCCUAUACUACUGCCUCUGAAUUUCAGCAAAGAAUUUGUGAGCCAUUCAGAGUAUCUUUGUAGGCAAACGGAAAAACUGAGACAG
Molecule: long non-coding RNA, 2201 nt
Filed under: Heterocephalus glaber (naked mole-rat)
Lineage: Eukaryota; Metazoa; Chordata; Mammalia; Rodentia; Bathyergidae
Description: lncRNA (ENSHGLG00000045782.1)
Source: RNAcentral